UGCUGGAGGUAUCAGAAGUGCGAAUGCUGACAUAAGUAACGAUAAAGCGGGUGAAAAGCCCGCUCGCCGGAAGACCAAGGGUUCCUGUCCAACGUUAAUCGGGGCAGGGUGAGUCGACCCCUAAGGCGAGGCCGAAAGGCGUAGUCGAUGGGAAACAGGUUAAUAUUCCUGUACUUGGUGUUACUGCGAAGGGGGGACGGAGAA
This 204-nucleotide ribosomal RNA is filed under the name Listeria monocytogenes. RNAcentral's name for it is "partial 23S ribosomal RNA". It matches the Rfam family "Bacterial large subunit ribosomal RNA", at positions 1271 to 1479 of the family's 2925-position model. The record is from RNAcentral. Lineage: Bacteria; Bacillati; Bacillota; Bacilli; Caryophanales; Listeriaceae.